UACGGGAGGCAGCAGUGGGGAAUAUUGCACAAUGGGCGCAAGCCUGAUGCAGCCAUGCCGCGUGUAUGAAGAAGGCCUUCGGGUUGUAAAGUACUUUCAGUCGUGAGGAAGGUGUUAAGGUUAAUAACCUUAGCAAUUGACGUUAGCGACAGAAGAAGCACCGGCUAACUCCGUGCCAGCAGCCGCGGUAAUAUGGAGGGUGCGAGCGUUAAUCGGAAUUACUGGGCGUAAAGGGCACGCAGGCGGUUAAUUAAGUUGGAUGUGAAAUCCCCGGGCUUAACCUGGGAAUGGCAUUCAAGACUGGUUAGCUAGAGUCUUGUAGAGGGGGUUAGAAUUCCAUGUGUAGCGGUGAAAUGCGUAGAGAUGUGGAGGAAUACCGGUGGCGAAGGCGGCCCCUGGGACAAAGACUGACGCUCAUGUGCGAAAGCGUGGGGAGCAAACGAGGAUUAGGAUACC
Molecule: ribosomal RNA, 456 nt
Filed under: uncultured bacterium
Lineage: Bacteria
Description: bacterial SSU rRNA
Rfam family: Bacterial small subunit ribosomal RNA
Source: RNAcentral